GGCGAACGCUGGCGGCGUGCUUAACACAUGCAAGUCGAACGGUGAACUCCGCUUGCGGGGGGAUCAGUGGCGAACGGGUGAGUAACACGUGGGCAACCUGCCCUCAGCUCUGGGAUAACUCCAAGAAAUUGGGGCUAAUACCGGAUAUGACCGCUGACCGCAUGGUCUGGUGGUGGAAAGAUUUAUCGGCUGGGGAUGGGCCCGCGGCCUAUCAGCUUGUUGGUGGGGUAGUGGCCUACCAAGGCGACGACGGGUAGCCGGCCUGAGAGGGUGACCGGCCACACUGGGACUGAGACACGGCCCAGACUCCUACGGGAGGCAGCAGUGGGGAAUAUUGCGCAAUGGGCGAAAGCCUGACGCAGCGACGCCGCGUGGGGGAUGACGGCCUUCGGGUUGUAAACCUCUUUCAGCAGGGACGAAGCGAAAGUGACGGUACCUGCAGAAGAAGCACCGGCCAACUACGUG
Molecule: ribosomal RNA, 465 nt
Filed under: uncultured bacterium
Lineage: Bacteria
Description: partial 16S ribosomal RNA
Rfam family: Bacterial small subunit ribosomal RNA
Source: RNAcentral